This 278-nucleotide ribosomal RNA is filed under the name Bacillus cereus. Its description in RNAcentral is "partial 16S ribosomal RNA". It matches the Rfam family "Bacterial small subunit ribosomal RNA", at positions 37 to 301 of the family's 1533-position model. The record is from RNAcentral. Lineage: Bacteria; Bacillati; Bacillota; Bacilli; Caryophanales; Bacillaceae.
UGGCGGCGUGCCUAAUACAUGCAAGUCGAGCGAAUGGAUUAAGAGCUUGCUCUUAUGAAGUUAGCGGCGGACGGGUGAGUAACACGUGGGUAACCUACCCAUAAGACUGGGAUAACUCCGGGAAACCGGGGCUAAUACCGGAUAAUAUUUUGAACUGCAUAGUUCGAAAUUGAAGGCGGCUUCGGCUGUCACUUAUGGAUGGACCCCGCGUCGCCAUUAGCUAGUUGGUGAAGGUAACCGCCUCACAAGCCGACGAUCCUAACCCACCCCUGGAGGGG